CGGACGGGUGAGUAACACGUGGAUAACCUACCUAUAAGACUGGGAUAACUUCGGGAAACCGGAGCUAAUACCGGAUAAUAUAUUGAACCGCAUGGUUCAAUAGUGAAAGACGGUUUUGCUGUCACUUAUAGAUGGAUCCGCGCCGCAUUAGCUAGUUGUAAGGUAACGGCUUACCAAGGCAACGAUGCGUAGCCGACCUGAGAGGGUGAUCGGCCACACUGGAACUGAGACACGGUCCAGACUCCUACGGGAGGCAGCAGCC
Molecule: ribosomal RNA, 262 nt
Filed under: uncultured Staphylococcus sp.
Lineage: Bacteria; Bacillati; Bacillota; Bacilli; Caryophanales; Staphylococcaceae
Description: partial 16S ribosomal RNA
Rfam family: Bacterial small subunit ribosomal RNA
Source: RNAcentral